UACGGAAGGCAGCAGUGGGGAAUCUUGCGCAAUGGGCGAAAGCCUGACGCAGCCAUGCCGCGUGAAUGAUGAAGGUCUUAGGAUUGUAAAAUUCUUUCACCGGGGACGAUAAUGACGGUACCCGGAGAAGAAGCCCCGGCUAACUUCGUGCCAGCAGCCGCGGUAAUACGAAGGGGCUAGCGUUGCUCGGAAUUACUGGGCGUAAAGGGCGCGUAGGCGGAUCGUUAAGUCAGAGGUGAAAUCCCAGGGCUCAACCCUGGAACUGCCUUUUGAUACUGGCGAUCUUGAGUAUGAGAGAGGUAUGUGGAACUCCGAGUGUAGAGGUGAAAUUCGUAGAUAUUCGGAAGACACCAGUGGCGAAGGCGACAUACUGGCUCAUUACUGACGCUGAGGCGCGAAAGCGUGGGGAGCAAACAGGGAUUAGAUACCCGU
Molecule: ribosomal RNA, 432 nt
Filed under: uncultured bacterium
Lineage: Bacteria
Description: bacterial SSU rRNA
Rfam family: Bacterial small subunit ribosomal RNA
Source: RNAcentral